CUAUACAUGCAGUCGAACGCUUCCUUUCCUCCCGAGUGCUUGCACUCAAUUGGAAAGAGGAGUGGCGGACGGGUGAGUAACACGUGGGUAACCUACCCAUCAGAGGGGGAUAACACUUGGAAACAGGUGCUAAUACCGCAUAACAGUUUAUGCCGCAUGGCAUAAGAGUGAAAGGCGCUUUCGGGUGUCGCUGAUGGAUGGACCCGCGGUGCAUUAGCUAGUUGGUGAGGUAACGGCUCACCAAGGCCACGAUGCAUAGCCGACCUGAGAGGGUGAUCGGCCACACUGGGACUGAGACACGGCCCAGACUCCUACGGGAGGCAGCAGUAGGGAAUCUUCGGCAAUGGACGAAAGUCUGACCGAGCAACGCCGCGUGAGUGAAGAAGGUUUUCGGAUCGUAAAACUCUGUUGUUAGAGAAGAACAAGGACGUUAGUAACUGAACGUCCCCUGACGGUAUCUAACCAGAAAGCCACGGCUAACUACGUGCCAGCAGCCGCGGUAAUACGUAGGUGGCAAGCGUUGUCCGGAUUUAUUGGGCGUAAAGCGAGCGCAGGCGGUUUCUUAAGUCUGAUGUGAAAGCCCCCGGCUCAACCGGGGAGGGUCAUUGGAAACUGGGAGACUUGAGUGCAGAAGAGGAGAGUGGAAUUCCAUGUGUAGCGGUGAAAUGCGUAGAUAUAUGGAGGAACACCAGUGGCGAAGGCGGCUCUCUGGUCUGUAACUGACGCUGAGGCUCGAAAGCGUGUGGAGCAAACAGGAUUAGAUACCCUGGUAGUCCACGCCGUAAACGAUGAGUGCUAAGUGUUGGAGGGUUUCCGCCCUUCAGUGCUGCAGCAAACGCAUUAAGCACUCCGCCUGGGGAGUACGACCGCAAGGUUGAAACUCACAGGAAUUGACGGGGGCCCGCACAAGCGGUGGAGCAUGUGGUUUAAUUCGAAGCAACGCGAAGAACCUUACCAGGUCUUGACAUCCUUUGACCACUCUAGAGAUAGAGCUUUCCCUUCGGGACAAAUGACAGGUGGUGCAUGGUUGUCGUCAGCUCGUGUCGGGAAAUGUUGGGUUAAUUCCGGA
RNAcentral lists this ribosomal RNA (1069 nucleotides) under Enterococcus faecalis. RNAcentral describes it as "bacterial SSU rRNA". It matches the Rfam family "Bacterial small subunit ribosomal RNA", at positions 49 to 1090 of the family's 1533-position model. Lineage: Bacteria; Bacillati; Bacillota; Bacilli; Lactobacillales; Enterococcaceae. The record is from RNAcentral.